UGACUGAGGAGCUUCAAUAAGGCUCUGAAAGAGACUUGCCCUGUGAGUUUGGUGUACUCAAGAACCAAGCAUCAUUUUCCCUUAUGAACAUGCUUCUUGACAUCUGCUCAGUUCUGCUACUUCUUUUAAUGUUCAGGAGGAGCAAUGGAGACUCAGUGACUCAGACAGAAGGCCAGGUUACUGUCACAGAGGGGUUGCCUGUGAAGCUGAACUGCAACUAUGAGACUGCUUACACAAGUCCUUUCCUUUUCUGGUAUGUGCAACAUCCCAGGAAAGGCCCCCAGUUACUUCUGAAUACCUUCACAGACAAAAAGAGAAUAGAACAUCAAGGUUUCUAUGCCAACCUCAACAAGAGCAGCAACUCCUUCCACCUGCAGAAGCCCUCAGUGCAACUGUCUGACUCUGCCCUGUACUACUGUGCUCUGAGUGACACAGUGAGGGAGACUGCAGGGGAAGCUGCACAUAAAACAAGGGUAUUAGAGGGCUGA
This is a non-coding RNA of Alexandromys fortis (reed vole), 488 nucleotides long. Lineage: Eukaryota; Metazoa; Chordata; Mammalia; Rodentia; Cricetidae. The record is from the annotation of a RefSeq genome assembly.